AUGACUCAGAACGAACGCUGGCGGCGCGUUUAAGCAUGCAAGUCGAGCGGCAAGGGCCUUCGGGCCCCUAGAGCGGCGGACGGGUGAGUAACACGUGGACAAUCUGCCCCCCGGCCCGGGAUAGCCCAGGGAAACCUGGAUUAAUACCGGAUGAGACGGGACCCGCGAUGGCGGGACCCGGGAAAGGCGCUGCGGCGCCGCCGGGGGAUGAGUCUGCGUCCCAUUAGCUAGACGGCGGGGUAACGGCCCACCGUGGCGACGAUGGGUAGCCGGCCUGAGAGGGUGGACGGCCACAUUGGAACUGAGACACGGUCCAGACUCCUACGGGAGGCAGCAGCUAAGAAUCUUCCGCAAUGGGCGAAAGCCUGACGGAGCCGACGCCGCGUGAACGAAGAAGGCCGUGAGGUUGUAAAGUUCUUUUCGGGAGGGGAACAACCGUGGCAGGGAAUGGCCGCGGGAUGACGUGAAUCCCGGAAUAAGCCCCGGCUAACUACGUGCCAGCCGCCGC
Molecule: ribosomal RNA, 508 nt
Filed under: uncultured bacterium
Lineage: Bacteria
Description: bacterial SSU rRNA
Rfam family: Bacterial small subunit ribosomal RNA
Source: RNAcentral